GGACUGUGCCUCAGUGGUGGAGCAUCUGUCUUGCACAGAAGGUCCCAGGUGCAAUCCCUAGCAUCACCA
Podarcis lilfordi (Lilford's wall lizard) is the source of this 69-nucleotide non-coding RNA. The record is from the annotation of a GenBank genome assembly. Lineage: Eukaryota; Metazoa; Chordata; Lepidosauria; Squamata; Lacertidae.